This 494-nucleotide ribosomal RNA is filed under the name uncultured bacterium. RNAcentral describes it as "partial 16S ribosomal RNA". It matches the Rfam family "Bacterial small subunit ribosomal RNA", at positions 28 to 507 of the family's 1533-position model. The record is from RNAcentral.
GACGAACGCUGGCGGCGCGCUUAACACAUGCAAGUCGAACGGAAAGGCCUGCUUUCCCUUGUGGAUUGCGGGUACUCGAGUGGCGAACGGGUGAGUAACACGUGAGUGAUCUGCCCCCAACUUGGGUAUAAGCCUGGGAAACUGGGUCUAAUUCCCGAUAGGACUGCAGGGUGGUGCCUGUGGUGGAAAACGAUUUUCUAGUGGUUGGGGAUGAGCUCGCGGCCUAUCAGCUUGUUGGUGGGGUAAUGGCCUACCAAGGCGGCGACGGGUAGCCGGCCUGGGAGGGUGGGCGGCCACAUUGGGACUGAGAUACGGCCCAGACUACGACGGGAGGCAGCAGUGGGGAAUAUUGCACAAUGGGCGGAAGCCUGAUGCAGCGACGCGGCGUGGGGGAUGACGGCCUUCGGGUUGUAAACUCCUUUCGACCGCGAGGAAGCCACCUGGUUGGAAGGGUGGUGACGGUAGUGGUAGAAGAAGCACCGGCUAACUACGUG